RNAcentral lists this long non-coding RNA (1174 nucleotides) under Musa acuminata (dwarf banana). RNAcentral's name for it is "long non-coding RNA (MACU_LNC006684)". The record is from RNAcentral. Lineage: Eukaryota; Viridiplantae; Streptophyta; Magnoliopsida; Zingiberales; Musaceae.
AGCCGUCUUAACAUGAAAACAUGCUUUGUUCUCAUUGCUAAUUUUAUUGAUUAGUUAGUUCUAUUCAUUGUGAGACGGGGGAGAAAUGUUUUCUUUCUGAUUCUGGAGAUGAAGAGAAGCCGAUUUUCUUUCUGAUGCUGGAGAUGAAGUGAAACCGAUUAGGGAAUUUGGGUUAGCCUGUGGAUUAUUAAAUCCUCGAUAUGGUAGCAGUAAUUUACCACCGAACUGGAAACUGGACUGGUUGUGAUCUUAUCUGGUCUAUUCUCUGAAUGGCAUGAAUACCGUCGGCUGCUGAGUCGGCUCCAGUCGGCACGGUUGGUUCACUGUCGAAGGCGCAGGUUCAUCCUUGUGUCUCCUCCAUGCCGAUGUGGGAGUACUGAUGUGGCGAACCAGCGCGGGAAGUCUACAAGGGAGGUGGUUUGCUGGGGCUGAUCUGACCUUGGAGCGGUGAGGCCUGGUAGAGGAACUGGGAUCUGCUCGGCAGUGAGGCCCUCUCUUGGCUGUUGGGUCAUCUUCAAGCUGCGAGGUUGUCUCGUGGGCGCCAGUGAUUCUGCACAACAGGUCAGUGAUUCUGCACAACAGCUCGACCCCUUCGAUGCUUAAGUCAGUGUAAGGCGGAGGAUGCGAAAGACAGCAGUAUGAGCUGUGUAAAUAUGAGAGAGUAAAGGGUUGAGAGAUUGUUGCCCCCCAAUCUUGGCCUGGGGUGUGGCUCUUAUGCUUGGGUGUCGUGCCCUCUCCGAUUGUGAUCUUAUCUGGUCUACUCUCUGAUUGAGCAUGAAUACUGUUGGCUGGUGAGUCGGCUUCUGUUGACACGGUUGGUUCACUGCCAAAGGUGCAAGUUCAUCCUUGUGUCUCCUUCGUGCCGAUAUGGGAGUGUUGAUAUGGUGAACUAGCAUUGGAAGUCUAUAAGGGAGGCGGUUUGCUGGGGCUGAUUUGACCUUAGACCAGUGAUUUUGCACAACAGGUCGGUGUCCCGGGGAGGGGGGCUUCCCGGCUCGACCUCUUCGAUGCUUAAGUUAGUGUAAGGCGGAGGAGGCGAAAGACAGUAGUAUGAGCUGUGUAAAGAUGAGAGAGUAAAGGGUUAAGAGAUUGUUGCCCCCCCCAAUCUUGGCCUGGGGUGUGGCUCUUAUGCUUGGGUGUCGUGCGUUCUCCGAUUGUGAUCUUAUCUGGUCUA